GCUGAUGUAGCUCAGUUGGUAGAGCAGCGCUUUCGUAAAGCGCAGGCCGGUGGUUCAAUUCCACUCGUCAGCU
This 73-nucleotide transfer RNA is filed under the name Candidatus Omnitrophota bacterium. RNAcentral describes it as "Candidatus Omnitrophica bacterium (sediment metagenome) tRNA-Thr". It matches the Rfam family "tRNA". Rfam says of the family: Transfer RNA (tRNA) molecules are approximately 80 nucleotides in length. Their secondary structure includes four short double-helical elements and three loops (D, anti-codon, and T loops). Further hydrogen bonds mediate the characteristic L-shaped molecular structure. tRNAs have two regions of fundamental functional importance: the anti-codon, which is responsible for specific mRNA codon recognition, and the 3' end, to which the tRNAs corresponding amino acid is attached (by aminoacyl-tRNA synthetases). tRNAs cope with the degeneracy of the genetic code in two manners: having more than one tRNA (with a specific anti-codon) for a particular amino acid; and 'wobble' base-pairing, i.e. permitting non-standard base-pairing at the 3rd anti-codon position. The record is from RNAcentral. Lineage: Bacteria; Pseudomonadati; Candidatus Omnitrophota.